Molecule: long non-coding RNA, 269 nt
Filed under: Homo sapiens (human)
Lineage: Eukaryota; Metazoa; Chordata; Mammalia; Primates; Hominidae
Description: HSALNT0273868
Source: RNAcentral
ACUCCAGCACUGCGCAGGGACCGGUGAGUGUCGCUUCUGGGGGCAGCGCCCAGUAACCGCGCUAGGAGCGCGGAGAAGGGCAUUGGGAGAGCGGCGUUCGUGGCGGAGACUAGCGCUCCGGAGCACGGGCACGACGGGGGCACCUUCUCGGCUGCUAGAAUUCUGUGGCCACACUGCGAGGAGAUCGGUUCUGGGUCGGAGGCUACAGGAAGACUCCCACUCCCUGAAAUCUGGAGUGAAGAACGCCGCCAUCCAGCCACCAUUCCAAG